CAUAGUGUUUGAUGAAAUUUGACUAUAGAAUUUUUUUUCUAUACUGCUAUCGUGCUACUUCGUCAAUUCAGGGUGUGUAGGGGAUGUUGUCCUGGGUCUGUAGAGGAUGCGGUGCGUGGCUGCUUGUGUGUAUGCAUAUAUGUUAAUUGGUGGCUGGUGUGUGUGUGUGUGUGUGUGUGUGUGUGUGUGUGUGCAGGGUGCAAACAGCGACAGCGAGUAGGCGGCAAGUAUACUGCGUCGAGAAACGAUACAGGGGCAUGAAGCAAGCGAGCAGGUGUGCGCGGCGACCUGCUACUGCACCAAUAGUAGCCUUGACGGAGCACCGAGGCCGGCUCGACAGGGCAUGCCGCCCGCCGGUAGACGCCUGGUUGUGUGAGUCGGAGAUGAACCCUGCGUCGUCGCCUCUGCAGCCUGGACAGAGCUCCGCCGGUGUUGGGGAUGAAGCCUGCGUUUGUGAUGGUGAUGACGCUCUCCAUCUACUUUCUCCACUGGCUAUAAGGGAGUAAAGAUCACAUCGUGGAUGUGUUUUUCUUCAGAGAUGUGGCCCUGUCGUUGUUGGUUGUCGAAUUUGCGAUGUAAUCCGUCCCUAUACUCUCCCGCACAAUGAGCAGAACAGAGCAGCGGCUGCAAUUUACCGUUGAUUUCUUGGAGUGAUUCAAACCUAGGAAGCCUGCUACUUGUGCAAGCAACAGGGUAACAAGUUUCAGUUUUCUUACUGAUGCACCUCAAUUUGCAAGUUGUGCGAAUACUUUGUUUGCACUUUAGUGGGACUGAAAUUUUCCUGCUACCAUGUGUCAUGGUAGUAGGCUGCUGCGGCAAAAAACCGGUAAGCCCCCUAACGGAAGAAAAUUGAAAAAAGUCUCAUCCUGCUUACCAUGUUUUAUCUUAAAAUUUUGGCUUGAAUUUUUUUUCUGUAUAACCUAUAUCUCUGCAUGGUUACUUUCUCCACACAUGCUUUAGCUGCAGCAUUGGUCAAGUGGCUUGAACACAACUCACGUGAGUCAUCGCCAAAUGGCCCUUUUCUGAAAUUCAUUCUCUUAUGCACUGAGAGAGGAGUUACUCCAUGACAGUAUGUAUACAUACAGAUGCAAGCAAUGGAGAAACUCAUGCAGAUGAUGACUGAACAAUUUUUCAUGAAUUUUCCAACCUGAAUUGGUUACAGAGGUUGGGAAAAGAGGAAUCUAGGCUCUGAUGAACACAUGUUCUUUCGCAGGUGACUAACAGUUGGCACCUCCAUCUUUACAUUACAUCAGGCCAGCGCUACAAAGCCCAUAAACCAAUUCAACUAGACCAGGACUAUGUUUAUUAGUCCUCCAGUGUUUAUUGGAAUGAGAUGACACAUGGUAUGCCAGCUAACAAGCAACUGAAGCAAGAAGAUUUUUGUAAUUUCUUGGAAAGAAUGAGCCCCUGAACCCAGGAUGGCGAAGGAUCCAAUAUGUCAGGACCAAUGAGGGAAUUGCAGAGCUUCAUAUUCAGUUUAUUUUAGGUGCUUGCCUACUUCAAGUGUCUAGAUUACAGGAAACAUGUUUCUUCAAGUGUCUACUUCAAGCUUGCCCUUACCAUUUACCAGGUGGUGACUUGCCGGAGGAGCCGGUGGUGCUGCUGCGAUCUUCUCCAGGUGAUGGUCAGUGAUGCAAGCUAAAACCCGGGAUGGGAUAGCGGCUCCGGGCGACAAUCAGAGGCGAGGCAGCGCUGCAGACCAAGGACAAAGUGCUGCACCGGGGCGACGGCAUGGGGCGAGGAAGAAGCGGCGGAUGGGGCUGCGCAUGGGGGAGUUGGGGCGACGGCUUGGUUCAGUGCACGGGAUCGUAUUAACUCUGUUUUCUCCUAGGUACAUGCGCUGGUAUAGUUUCUCCGUGGGAUUACCAAACGAUUCUCUCUCCUCCUUGAUUAAGAUGUCACAUCAGUUUUUUGCUUACAUAGCAGGAUUAGCACCCGUCCAGGGUGGAGCACUGGGAGCAGCCUUAUAGAAGUAAUGCAAUAUAUUAUCUCUUAUGCCUACUUGAAAUACUGUUGUGGGUCUGUACUUUGCCUCUCAUAUUGUAUGCCUAUUCUCUUAACUGUAGUAAGGAUGAAGCAGGAAAGUGUGCUGGACCUUCUAACAUGGAUAUUGUAUAUGUACGAGCCACGGGCCACUAUUGUUUAUCGUAUGGAUUGUAAAUGUAGUGACACUGAAGUUUGUAACAUAUCCUUAAAUUUCUUUAUUGUAACAUUAUGUUAACUAAAAAUCUGGUAGCUGUGACCUUGAUAUUCCCUGUAGAGCCAGCAAAAAAUAGAAUAAAAAGUUUCAUUACAAUUGGUGAUUGAAUGUCAAAUGGCAGUGAUUUUAUAUCAAUGUGUGGGAGGUUGAUGAAAGAUUGCAUGCAGAGUAUACCAGUGAAAAACAUCAUCUAUUUAGAUGACCUAUUACCAGAGCAGAUAUACUAUAUUUCUAGCUGAAGUUAACAUUGCUAAAAUAUUUCACCGGGUGGCAACUUGAGGGCAAGAAACAUACAUAUAAGCCUAUUAUGAAAUGUCUGGAAAUAUUGAAGCUUCAGCACCGCGCUCCAGCAUCCGUGGAGGAGUUGCGCCGUUUUGGACGUGUUGGUCAACUUCUGCUGCUUGAGGGGUUGAUCACGAGCAUAGCAUAGGCCGACGGCGGGGAGGUGGUCUGUGUCGGGGAAGAGGGCGACGUUGGGGAGGAGGCCAAUGAUGUGGAAGAGGGUGAUGAAGGGAGGAGGACGGCGGUAGGAGAGGGAGGCAAUGGAGUGGCGGCGAGCUAAAUAGAGUGAGGUGGAGGGUUGGCGGUUCGGCGGUGGCGAGCUUGUGAGAAGGGAACAAUGGCGGCGUCAUGAAUAGCGCUUCGACGGGGAUCAUCAGAAGGGGAAUUCAGAACUAAGUUAUGCCACUUGGCGAUGGCAUUGCCGCCGUAAAUAUAUUGAGCUAUGUGAUUCAACUUCACAAAGCUAAGCUUCGACAACUUCACCAAAUCAUACUAUGAGAGGCCUCCGAUCCGCGUAGUUGGUGAAGCACGGAGUUGAAGGAGAUCCGAGCAAUCCCUGAAUUAAAAUUCUGCUCUUGGACAUCAACAUAUCAAACUGAAACAAGACUGAUUGAUGCACCUACCCUACCGGUGGUUGAAUAAAAUUUUGUAGGUCUUAGUGUCAUCUCAUGAUACUAUCCAUGCUUUCCAUCCUCAAAAAGCCAUUCGUUUAAGUCACCCGUAGCAACGCACGGGCACAGUUACUAGUACAUAUAUAUGCAUAGUUGGCCCGCAAAAUAACUGAUGUGCUAGCCCAUUGCACAACAGUAGCAUGUUCCUCAUCCUACAACAUUAGCAGAACUCUAACCCGUCACACAACAGCACAACUGAUUUGAGCACAUAUGCAAGAGUUGUGCUACGUUUGAUGAGAUAUCCAUAUCCUGAUUUGAGCACAAAAUGUUGCUCCGAUUUUCACCGCACCGUGCCGAAUGUUACCUCCUCGCCUUCUUUCUAGGUCUUCCAUGUCAUGUGAACAGUAAUACCACAUGAACGGUCAUUGGUAACGCACAAGCUUUCAAUAUUUGUUGCAGUAAAUGCAAGCAGCCCUUGGUAAUAUAAUGUCGCCGAACCAGUGUUUACGUGCGGUAAA
Long non-coding RNA from Aegilops tauschii subsp. strangulata, 3611 nucleotides. RefSeq lists it as uncharacterized. NCBI's taxonomy places the organism in Eukaryota, Viridiplantae, Streptophyta, Magnoliopsida, Poales, Poaceae. The record is from RefSeq and is a predicted model, not a curated record.